Molecule: ribosomal RNA, 492 nt
Filed under: uncultured bacterium
Lineage: Bacteria
Description: partial 16S ribosomal RNA
Rfam family: Bacterial small subunit ribosomal RNA
Source: RNAcentral
AGUGAACGCUGGCGGUAGGCCUAACACAUGCAAGUCGAACGGCAGCACAGUAAGAGCUUGCUCUUACGGGUGGCGAGUGGCGGACGGGUGAGGAAUACAUCGGAAUCUACUUUUUCGUUGGGGAUAACGUAGGGAAACUUACGCUAAUACCGCAUACGACCUACGGGUGAAAGCAGGGGAUCUUCGGACCUUGCGCGAUUGAAUGAGCCGAUGUCGGAUUAGCUAGUUGGCGGGGUAAAGGCCCACCAAGGCGACGAUCCGUAGCUGGUCUGAGAGGAUGAUCAGCCACACUGGAACUGAGACGCGGUCCAGACUCCUACGGGAGGCAGCAGUGGGGAAUAUUGGACAAUGGGCGCAAGCCUGAUCCAGCCAUACCGCGUGGGUGAAGAAGGCCUUCGGGUUGUAAAGCCCUUUUGUUGGGAAAGAAAAGCAGCAGGUUAAUACCCCGCUGUUCUGACGGUACCCAAAGAAUAAGCACCGGCUAACUUCGUG